AAAAACGGAAGAGUUAUGCAUAUAAAAAGAGAGAAAGAGAAAACAAAAGAAAAGAAAAUUUGAGUUAAAUUCUGGUGUACAACAAUUGGAUGAACAAGAAGAGGCACUGCACUACAGAGAGGGAGGUAGAUGGUAAUAGAGAGAAUGAUGUAA
Long non-coding RNA from Teleopsis dalmanni, 153 nucleotides. RefSeq lists it as uncharacterized. The transcript has 2 exons. NCBI's taxonomy places the organism in Eukaryota, Metazoa, Arthropoda, Insecta, Diptera, Diopsidae. The record is from RefSeq and is a predicted model, not a curated record.